RNAcentral lists this ribosomal RNA (303 nucleotides) under uncultured bacterium. RNAcentral describes it as "partial 16S ribosomal RNA". It matches the Rfam family "Bacterial small subunit ribosomal RNA", at positions 507 to 807 of the family's 1533-position model. The record is from RNAcentral.
AGCAGUCGCCGCGGUAAUACGAAGGGUGCAAGCGUUAAUCGGAAUUACUGGGCGUAAAGCGUGCGUAGGCGGUUUGUUAAGUCUGCUGUGAAAUCCCCGGGCUCAACCUGGGAAUGGCAGUGGAUACUGGCAAGCUAGAGUGUGUCAGAGGAUGGUGGAAUUCCCGGUGUAGCGGUGAAAUGCGUAGAGAUCGGGAGGAACAUCAGUGGCGAAGGCGGCCAUCUGGGACAACACUGACGCUGAGGCACGAAAGCGUGGGGAGCAAACAGGAUUAGAGACCCCUGUAGUCCCUGUCUCUUAUAC